CAUAACGACUCUCGGCAACGGAUAUCUCGGCUCUCGCAUCGAUGAAGAACGUAGCGAAAUGCGAUACUUGGUGUGAAUUGCAGAAUCCCGUGAACCAUCGAGUCUUUGAACGCAAGUUGCGCCCGAAGCCUUCUCGGCUGAGGGCACGCCUGCCUGGGCGUCACGCA
This 167-nucleotide ribosomal RNA is filed under the name Orthocarpus barbatus. RNAcentral's name for it is "5.8S ribosomal RNA". It matches the Rfam family "5.8S ribosomal RNA". Rfam says of the family: 5.8S ribosomal RNA (5.8S rRNA) is a component of the large subunit of the eukaryotic ribosome. RNAcentral also lists the same sequence under 1 other name. The record is from RNAcentral. Lineage: Eukaryota; Viridiplantae; Streptophyta; Magnoliopsida; Lamiales; Orobanchaceae.